This 210-nucleotide long non-coding RNA is filed under the name Elaeis guineensis (African oil palm). RNAcentral describes it as "long non-coding RNA (EGUI_LNC002451)". The record is from RNAcentral. Lineage: Eukaryota; Viridiplantae; Streptophyta; Magnoliopsida; Arecales; Arecaceae.
GCAUGCGGUCCAAAAAAUCACGCAGUUCGUCAUUCGGUCGGUCUGAUGAUGCAUCGGUGCCAGAGGCAGUUAGGACAUCCAUGAGCAUGAUGCAAGAUCAGAUUAGUUACUGGAUGAAUCGUAGUCAGACGCUCGAGAGGAUAGUAGCUGCGGUGGCGGGACGGCUCGGUAUUGAUGCUUCUGAGUUAGCACCUCUACAGUCACAUGAUG